Molecule: ribosomal RNA, 502 nt
Filed under: uncultured bacterium
Lineage: Bacteria
Description: partial 16S ribosomal RNA
Rfam family: Bacterial small subunit ribosomal RNA
Source: RNAcentral
AUUGAACGCUGGCGGAAUGCUUUACACAUGCAAGUCGAACGGCAGCACGGGUGCUUGCACCUGGUGGCGAGUGGCGAAUGGGUGAGUAAUACAUCGGAACGUACCCAGUUAUGGGGGAUAACUAACCGAAAGGUUAGCUAAUACCGCAUACGCCCUGAGGGGGAAAGCGGGGGACCGUAAGGCCUCGCGUAAUUGGAGCGGCCGAUGUCUGAUUAGCUAGUUGGUGAGGUAAAGGCUCACCAAGGCGACGAUCAGUAGCAGGUCUGAGAGGAUGAUCUGCCACACUGGAACUGAGACACGGUCCAGACUCCUACGGGAGGCAGCAGUGGGGAACUUUGGACAAUGGGCGAAAGCCUGAUCCAGCCAUUCCGCGUGAGUGAAGAAGGCCUUCGGGUUGUAAAGCUCUUUCGGCAGGGAAGAAACGCUCUGGGAUAAUACUCCGGGGUAAUGACGGUACCUGAAGAAGAAGCACCGGCUAACUACGUGCCAGCCGCCGCGGUAA